This 496-nucleotide ribosomal RNA is filed under the name uncultured bacterium. RNAcentral describes it as "partial 16S ribosomal RNA". It matches the Rfam family "Bacterial small subunit ribosomal RNA", at positions 28 to 506 of the family's 1533-position model. The record is from RNAcentral.
GAUGAACGCUGGCGGCGUGCCUAAUACAUGCAAGUCGAGCGAACAGAUAAGGAGCUUGCUCCUUUGAAGUUAGCGGCGGACGGGUGAGUAACACGUGGGUAACCUACCUAUAAGACUGGGAUAACUUCGGGAAACCGGAGCUAAUACCGGAUAACAUUUAGAACCGCAUGGUUCUAAAGUGAAAGAUGGUUUUGCUAUCACUUAUAGAUGGACCCGCGCCGUAUUAGCUAGUUGGUAAGGUAACGGCUUACCAAGGCGACGAUACGUAGCCGACCUGAGAGGGUGAUCGGCCACACUGGAACUGAGACACGGUCCAGACUCCUACGGGAGGCAGCAGGAGGGAAUCUUCCGCAAUGGGCGAAAGCCUGACGGAGCAACGCCGCGUGAGUGAUGAAGGGUUUCGGCUCGUAAAACUCUGUUAUUAGGGAAGAACAAAUGUGUAAGUAACUGUGCACAUCUUGACGGUACCUAAUCAGAAAGCCACGGCUAACUACGU